Molecule: ribosomal RNA, 562 nt
Filed under: Meyerozyma guilliermondii
Lineage: Eukaryota; Fungi; Ascomycota; Pichiomycetes; Serinales; Debaryomycetaceae
Description: partial large subunit ribosomal RNA
Rfam family: Eukaryotic large subunit ribosomal RNA
Source: RNAcentral
GCGGCGAGUGAAGCGGCAAAGCUCAAAUUUGAAAUCUGGCGCCUUCGGUGUCCGAGUUGUAAUUUGAAGAUUGUAACCUUGGGGUUGGCUCUUGUCUAUGUUUCUUGGAACAGGACGUCACAGAGGGUGAGAAUCCCGUGCGAUGAGAUGCCCAAUUCUAUGUAAGGUGCUUUCGAAGAGUCGAGUUGUUUGGGAAUGCAGCUCUAAGUGGGUGGUAAAUUCCAUCUAAAGCUAAAUAUUGGCGAGAGACCGAUAGCGAACAAGUACAGUGAUGGAAAGAUGAAAAGAACUUUGAAAAGAGAGUGAAAAAGUACGUGAAAUUGUUGAAAGGGAAGGGUUUGAGAUCAGACUCGAUAUUUUGUGAGCCUUGCCUUCGUGGCGGGGUGACCCGCAGCUUAUCGGGCCAGCAUCGGUUUGGGCGGUAGGAUAAUGGCGUAGGAAUGUGACUUUACUUCGGUGAAGUGUUAUAGCCUGCGUUGAUGCUGCCUGCCUAGACCGAGGACUGCGAUUUUAUCAAGGAUGCUGGCAUAAUGAUCCCAAACCGCCCGUCUUGAACCACGGA